Molecule: ribosomal RNA, 400 nt
Filed under: uncultured bacterium
Lineage: Bacteria
Description: bacterial SSU rRNA
Rfam family: Bacterial small subunit ribosomal RNA
Source: RNAcentral
UGGGGAAUAUUGGACAAUGGGCGCAAGCCUGAUCCAGCCAUGCCGCGUGAGUGACGAAGGUCUUCGGAUUGUAAAGCUCUUUUGCCAGGGACGAUAAUGACGGUACCUGGAGAAUAAGCCCCGGCUAACUUCGUGCCAGCAGCCGCGGUAAUACGAAGGGGGCUAGCGUUGUUCGGAAUUACUGGGCGUAAAGCGCACGUAGGCGGAUUUGUAAGUCAGGGGUGAAAUCCCGGGGCUCAACCUCGGAACUGCCUUUGAUACUGCAAGUCUCGAGUCCGGAAGAGGUGAGUGGAAUUCCGAGUGUAGAGGUGAAAUUCGUAGAUAUUCGGAAGAACACCAGUGGCGAAGGCGACUUACUGGACAUCUGUUGACGCUGAGGUGCGAAAGCGUGGGGAGCAAA